This 253-nucleotide ribosomal RNA is filed under the name uncultured bacterium. RNAcentral describes it as "partial 16S ribosomal RNA". It matches the Rfam family "Bacterial small subunit ribosomal RNA", at positions 524 to 776 of the family's 1533-position model. The record is from RNAcentral.
UACGAAGGGGGCUAGCGUUGCUCGGAAUUACUGGGCGCAAAGCGCACGUAGGCGGCUUGUUAAGUCAGGGGUGAAAUCCUGGAGCUCAACUCCAGAACUGCCUUUGAUACUGGCGAGCUUGAGUUCGGGAGAGGUGAGUGGAACUGCGAGUGUAGAGGUGAAAUUCGUAGAUAUUCGCAAGAACACCAGUGGCGAAGGCGGCUCACUGGCCCGAUACUGACGCUGAGGUGCGAAAGCGUGGGGAGCAAACAGG